CCUUACCUANNCUUGACAUGCCAGGAACNNNNNNAANANGCGAGGGUGCCUUCGGGAGCCUGGACACAGGUGCNNCNNGNCUGUCGUCAGCUCGUGUCGUGAGAUGUUGGGUUAAGUCCCGCAACGAGCGCAACCCUUGUCACUAGUUGCCNUCAUUUGGUUGGGCACUCUAGUGAGACUGCCGGUGACAAACCGGAGGAAGGUGGGGAUGACAUCAAGUCCUCAUGGCCCUUAUGGGGAGGGCUUCACACGUCAUACAAUGGUCGGUACAAAGGGUUGCCAAGCCGCGAGGUGGAGCCAAUCCCUUAAAACCGAUCGUAGUCCGGAUCGCAGUCUGCAACUCGACUACGUGAAGUCGGAAUCGCUAGUAAUCGCGAAUCAGAAUGUUGCGGUGAAUACGUUCCCGGGCCUUGCACACACCGCCCGUAUAANNNUUUUUUUUUUUUUCUCCCCCCCC
RNAcentral lists this ribosomal RNA (457 nucleotides) under bacterium enrichment culture DGGE gel band B24. RNAcentral's name for it is "partial 16S ribosomal RNA". It matches the Rfam family "Bacterial small subunit ribosomal RNA", at positions 969 to 1427 of the family's 1533-position model. The record is from RNAcentral.